UCCUUUCAUCGAUUCACUUAGCAGUCCGCAUCACCAUUCCACUACAAUUUCAAUCGACCCGAAUUAACAUCUAAAAAUUUGUAAGAGUGAGUAUUCGAAAACAUUUAGUAAGAUCGUGCAGUUUUCAUACACAAAUAUAUAACAAAUAAGAUCUAUACUUCAAACUACUCUGCUCUUAUGGAACAUAUUAGUAACCAAGUGACACACCCAUCUUAGAUCAUCUUAUUAUCUCGUAGGAUUUUAUCUCUCUUUUUAUAGAAUCCGAAGAUCCACUGACAAUUCAUAUAUAUUUAAUUGAAUAUAAAAAUAUAAGGAAACGAAAACACUUGCACAGAGGUAUCUUAUCUCAUUAAAUAAAAUGAACUAUCGAACAAAAUAUGAAUGCACGUGCCCAAAAUCUUUUCUAUACUUUAGUGAAUAAUGGUUGCAGAUUGGCUUCUUGUCUUCUAAUUCCCAAAAGUAUCAUCUCUCCCUCUCACGUAUGUGUAUACA
RNAcentral lists this long non-coding RNA (492 nucleotides) under Olea europaea (common olive). RNAcentral describes it as "long non-coding RNA (OEUR_LNC010963)". Lineage: Eukaryota; Viridiplantae; Streptophyta; Magnoliopsida; Lamiales; Oleaceae. The record is from RNAcentral.